UUUUUUUUUUUUUUUUUUGUCAUUUCUUGGGCUGCUCUCAUGGCAUAUGGAGGUUCCCAGGCUAGGGGUCAAAUCGGAGCUACAGCUGCCGGCCUACGCCACAGCCACAGCAAUGCCAGAUCCGAGCCUUGUCUGCUCCUUACACCACAGCUCAUGGCAACAGAGGCCAGGGAUUGAACGCACAUCCUAAUGGAUCCUAGUUGGAUUCAUUUCUGCUGUGCCACGAUGGGAACUCCCCUUCCUUUGUAUUUUAAAGAACAGUGUCUAAAGUAGGUCCCAUCCUUUUGUUAUUCUCAACCACAGUUCCAACGGUUGAGUGUCUCCUGGGAUAUGCAUGCUCUGUUCCAUUUCUUUCUUUUUUUAAACAGACCCAGAGUCCCAGAAGAAGUUAGAUGUUGUGCUUACAAACUGCAUACACAUGGGCAUCAUGGAAGUGCAAAACUCCAAUAAAGAAAUAAGCACAUGGUUUCUUAGUUCAUUUUUUAUGUUAAUGAUGAAAGUGCAGGUAAGAAAAUAAGAACUAGCCUUAAGGACAUAUAAGUGAUGGAAAGAGAAGGAAAAUUCUAGGUGGAGCCCAGAGAAGUUAUCAUUCUCUUCCUAUCAACAUUGGGUGGAUGUGCAGGCCCCUUGCUUUAUAGCAGCAGAACAAAAUAAAAUGACUGAUGAUCAAAGAAACUCACAGAUGCCUACAGAAUUAAAUUAUCAACCCACUUUGACAUUUUGCAAGUAUAAAUAGAAACAGAAAUAACUAGAGGUGUAGAAAUAGUUGAAGAAGCCCCUCAACAUUAAAUUCUAAACUUCAAAUUUGAAACACCUAGAGAUUGGGGUUUCUCUGUAAUCUAUAAAUCAGCCUUGAUUCAAAGAAAUAGCCAGGCUGGCAUGGGGGAGCAACUUUAGAUCUGGCCAGCACAGGACCUGGGGAGGCUCAGUAGAGACCCACUAUCUGUUAAUAAGGAAGAAGACCCAAAACAGAGCCAGGACAAAUAAUUCUGUCAUUUUAAUGUCAAAAGUGUCCAACCAUUCUUUAUUGUGAAAAGGAUACAUAAUUAAGCUGUAUCUUUAUAUUAUUAUUUUUUUUUUACUAUUUGGCAUAUUAUUCAUUCCCAGUGAUGUUUCAUUUCUCCUCAAAUGAUUCUUUUGCAACCUUUAGAAAGCCCUGCAAUUUCCUUUUCAUUUGGCCGAACGUGGCAGACACAGGAGGGAGAGCUUCUAAAUCCUGUUGCUCAGAAUAUGGCUNUUUUUUUUUUUUUGUCUUUUCAGGGUCGCACCCACUGCAAAUGGAGGUUCCCAGGCUAGGGGUCUAAUCGAAGCUACAGCUGCCAGCCUACACCAGAGCCACAGCAACGCCAGAUCUGAGCCACGUCUGUGACCUAUAGCACAGCUCAUGGCAAUGCCUGAUCCUUAACCCACUGAGUAAGGCCAGGAAUCGAACUCAAAACCUCGUGGUUCCUCGUGGUUUCUGCUGCGCCACAACGGGAACUCCCAGAAUAUGUUUAAAAAAAAAAAAAAAAGCAGGACCCCAGACAGGUGUGUAACUGUUUGAAUGGGCUAUCUCUUAUACAACUAGGAAUAAGACCUACUUGGAAGAAGUUUUGCUCUAGAAACUGUUGAUGCUCUUGACUUAUUGAGGGGAGUUCCAUAAAAUGGCCAUUACCAACUGUAUAAGACAAAACUCGUGUUAGCUCAAAGGUUAGUCCCUGUUUUAAAAUCCCAAAAAAGAUAAACCCUAUUAUGGGCCAUUUCCACUUUCCCCACUGCUUCCCUGACAAGAGGUAAUGUGGGUCUGAGGAGGAAACUGAAGAUUCAUGGCCCAAAUAGAGCAGAAGUCUUGUCUUGUGUAACUGCCCAAAUGCUAAUACAAACUCAUUGUUGCUCAAUUUGUUCUUUAAAAGCUGUGCUUUAUUCUAUUAACUUUGAUUUGCCCUCUUAGCUUCUGUCAUUUUUCCAUACUGGACUGUCCUGGCAAUCCUCCUCACCUUUCUGUCUGGGUUUCAGUCUCUGACAGGGGCUCUGUGCCUAGGUCUCCCUGCCAGGAUCCAUCUGGCCCAUCGGUAACUAACAGUCAUCUUAGCCUUGUCCAGUGGUGAUAGCUUCACCCGUAGAUUUAACUGAGACAAAACUGAACAACUUACCAUAAAUAUCGGAGUCAAGAAAAAAUUAUUAGGAGACUAGGCGUACAUAAGUUUAGAUAAAAACAGAGAAGGCAGGACGACAGUGUGGUCCAAGUAAUUUUCUCUGUGCAAAGAUGCCUUCUAUUUAGUAUAACUAAACACAUUACUUCUGGGGAAAAAAAAAAACAACAACAAAAAUUCACACUCCAAAAAAGGGAGAAAAACUAGUAUUGAGAGCAAUUAUGAGUAUGACUUAAAAUGUCACUUUUUAUCUGUUGUACAGGAGAGUAAAUAUCAUGAAAACUUAACCAUGAUAAGGAAAAAAAAAACACUUAACCAUGAUGAAAUAUUUGUCAAACAGUAUUUGUUCCUAUAUUAAGAAAUUAAUACCCACAUGCACAACUUUGAGUUGAUAGAAACUAAAAACUUAAGGUAAUAGAAUUAAGGAUUUCAUUUUCCUUUUUAGAGUUUUAUAUAUUUUUCAAAUUUUUUGGAAAGGCGUUUUGGAAAUAGAAAAAAAAAAAA
This 2636-nucleotide long non-coding RNA is filed under the name Sus scrofa (pig). RNAcentral describes it as "lncRNA (ENSSSCG00025073830.1)". Lineage: Eukaryota; Metazoa; Chordata; Mammalia; Artiodactyla; Suidae. The record is from RNAcentral.